UGAUAAUCAUCCUUUCUCCCAGCGAUACUCUACAGACAGCGGGACAACAACGAGCUGCCGUUAUUGGGUGCUAGUGGAGCGCUCCGACUCAUCUCAUCCUCUUCCUCCUCCUCAACCGCCACCAGCCAGUUGUUAUUCCUUUGCCUCCUCCUUUGAUUUUAUCUCCCUUUCUUUCAGAUCUCAACUCUCUCCCCAAUUUUCACCCUAAACUCGCUUUCUCAUUAAAUCUAAUCAAUCUUUUUUAACUUCCCUAAUCUUUCUUUUUACUCAUCACUAAUCAAAUCUCGCCUCCUUCUACAGUCCUCUUCAAAUCGCUAAUAAUUCAGCAAAAUUCGUCCAUUCGCUUUUCAUUUUCUUCACAAUGAAGUUAGGGUUACGAUUUUGCUAAUUUCUCCUUCACUCUGAAUUCGUUCUUCCGCCGUCAGCCUCCUCCGCCUAUCUGAAGACGAGGAGGCCAAUCAUACGGCUUCUUAUAUUUUUCAUUUUUUAGAAAUAUCGUUUCUGGGGGAGGUGUUGAUUUGGUGUUGGUGGAUUAGUUUCUUGCUAUGGCGGAAUUGGUUCCUUUUUACUACAGCUUUGUUGCCUUCUUUUGCACUGCUGGAGCAAUCGCAUUGGCCGUUUUCCACAUCUACAGGCAUCUCUUAAAUUAUACUGAACCUACUUACCAGAG
This 670-nucleotide unclassified non-coding RNA is filed under the name Hevea brasiliensis (rubber tree). The record is from RNAcentral. Lineage: Eukaryota; Viridiplantae; Streptophyta; Magnoliopsida; Malpighiales; Euphorbiaceae.